RNAcentral lists this transfer RNA (78 nucleotides) under Candidatus Omnitrophota bacterium. Its description in RNAcentral is "tRNA-His". It matches the Rfam family "tRNA". Rfam says of the family: Transfer RNA (tRNA) molecules are approximately 80 nucleotides in length. Their secondary structure includes four short double-helical elements and three loops (D, anti-codon, and T loops). The record is from RNAcentral. Lineage: Bacteria; Pseudomonadati; Candidatus Omnitrophota.
GUGGCUGUAGCUCAAUUGGCUAGAGCGUCUGAUUGUGGUUCAGAAGGUUUGCGGGAUCGUUCCCCGUCAGCCACCCCA